GACGAACGCUGGCGGCGUGCUUAACACAUGCAAGUCGUACGGUAAGGCCCUUUCGGGGGUACACGAGUGGCGAACGGGUGAGUAACACGUGAGUAACCUGCCCACAACUUUGGGAUAACGCUAGGAAACUGGUGCUAAUACUGGAUAUGUGCUCCUGCUGCAUGGUGGGGGUUGGAAAGCUACGGCGGUUGUGGAUGGACUCGCGGCCUAUCAGCUUGUUGGUGGGGUAGUGGCCUACCAAGGCGGCGACGGGUAGCCGGCCUGAGAGGGUGACCGGCCACAUUGGGACUGAGAUACGGCCCAGACUCCUACGGGAGGCAGCAGUGGGGAAUAUUGCACAAUGGGCGCAAGCCUGAUGCAGCAACGCCGCGUGCGGGAUGACGGCCUUCGGGUUGUAAACCGCUUUCAGCAGGGACGAAGCUUUUUGUGACGGUACCUGCAGAAGAAGCACCGGCUAACUACGUG
This 465-nucleotide ribosomal RNA is filed under the name uncultured bacterium. RNAcentral's name for it is "partial 16S ribosomal RNA". It matches the Rfam family "Bacterial small subunit ribosomal RNA", at positions 28 to 507 of the family's 1533-position model. The record is from RNAcentral.